RNAcentral lists this ribosomal RNA (483 nucleotides) under uncultured bacterium. RNAcentral describes it as "partial 16S ribosomal RNA". It matches the Rfam family "Bacterial small subunit ribosomal RNA", at positions 28 to 523 of the family's 1533-position model. The record is from RNAcentral.
GACGAACGCUGGCGGCGUGCUUAACACAUGCAAGUCGAACGAUGAAGCUGGAGCUUGCUCCAGUGGAUUAGUGGCGAACGGGUGAGUAACACGUGAGCAAUCUGCCCUUGACUCUGGGAUAACUGCGGGAAACUGUAGCUAAUACCGGAUACGACACCUUGGGGCAUCCCGGGGUGUGGAAAGAAUUUCGGUCAAGGAUGAGCUCGCGGCCUAUCAGCUUGUUGGUGAGGUAAAGGCUCACCAAGGCGACGACGGGUAGCCGGCCUGAGAGGGUGACCGGCCACACUGGAACUGAGACACGGUCCAGACUCCUACGGGAGGCAGCAGUGGGGAAUAUUGCACAAUGGGCGAAAGCCUGAUGCAGCAACGCCGCGUGAGGGAUGACGGCCUUCGGGUUGCAAACCUCUUUUAGCAGGGAAGAGGCGAAAGUGACGGUACCUGCAGAAAAAGCACCGGCUAACUACGUGCCAGCCGCCGCAGUAA